Molecule: transfer RNA, 72 nt
Filed under: Nelumbo nucifera (sacred lotus)
Lineage: Eukaryota; Viridiplantae; Streptophyta; Magnoliopsida; Proteales; Nelumbonaceae
Rfam family: tRNA
About the family: Transfer RNA (tRNA) molecules are approximately 80 nucleotides in length. Their secondary structure includes four short double-helical elements and three loops (D, anti-codon, and T loops). Further hydrogen bonds mediate the characteristic L-shaped molecular structure. tRNAs have two regions of fundamental functional importance: the anti-codon, which is responsible for specific mRNA codon recognition, and the 3' end, to which the tRNAs corresponding amino acid is attached (by aminoacyl-tRNA synthetases). tRNAs cope with the degeneracy of the genetic code in two manners: having more than one tRNA (with a specific anti-codon) for a particular amino acid; and 'wobble' base-pairing, i.e. permitting non-standard base-pairing at the 3rd anti-codon position.
Source: Rfam by way of RNAcentral
GGUUCUAUGGUGUAGUGGUUAGCACUUUGGACUUUGAAUCCAGUGACUUGGGUUUGACUCCUGAUAGGAUCU